RNAcentral lists this ribosomal RNA (295 nucleotides) under uncultured bacterium. RNAcentral's name for it is "partial 16S ribosomal RNA". It matches the Rfam family "Bacterial small subunit ribosomal RNA", at positions 334 to 647 of the family's 1533-position model. The record is from RNAcentral.
GUGCCUACGGGGCGCAGUAGUAGGGAAUAUUGCUCAAUGGGGGAAACCCUGAAGCAGCAACGCCGCAUGGAGGAUGAAGGUUUUCGGAUUGUAAACUCCUUUUGUUAGAGAAGAUAAUGACGGUAUCUAACGAGUAAGCACCGGCUAACUCCGUGCCAGCAGCCGCGGUAAUACGGAGGGUGCCAGCGUUACUCGGAAUCACUGGGCGUAAAGAGCGCGUAGGCGGGAUAGCAAGUCAGAUGUGAAAUCCUAUGGCUUAACCAUAGAACUGCAUUUGAAACCGUUAUUCUAGCGU